RNAcentral lists this ribosomal RNA (207 nucleotides) under uncultured bacterium. Its description in RNAcentral is "partial 16S ribosomal RNA". It matches the Rfam family "Bacterial small subunit ribosomal RNA", at positions 568 to 774 of the family's 1533-position model. The record is from RNAcentral.
CGCGUAGGCGGACUAUUAAGUCAGGGGUGAAAUCCCGAGGCUCAACCCCGGAACUGCCCUUGAUACUGGUAGUCUUGAGUUCGAGAGAGGUGAGUGGAAUUCCGAGUGUAGAGGUGAAAUUCGUAGAUAUUCGGAGGAACACCAGUGGCGAAGGCGGCUCACUGGCUCGAUACUGACGCUGAGGUGCGAAAGUGUGGGGAGCAAACA